AUGGACGAAAGUCUGAUGGAGCAACGCCGCGUGAGUGAAGAAGGGUUUCGGCUCGUAAAACUCUGUUGAUAAAGAAGAACAUAUCUGAGAGUAACUGUUCAGGUAUUGACGGUAUUUAACCAGAAAGCCACGGCUAACUACGUGCCAGCAGCCGCGGUAAUACGUAGGUGGCAAGCGUUGUCCGGAUUUAUUGGGCGUAAAGCGAGCGCAGGCGGUUUUUUAAGUCUGAUGUGAAAGCCUUCGGCUUAACCGAAGAAGUGCAUCGGAAACUGGGAAACUUGAGUGCAGAAGAGGACAGUGGAACUCCAUGUGUAGCGGUGAAAUGCGUAGAUAUAUGGAAGAACACCAGUGGCGAAGGCGGCUGUCUGGUCUGUAACUGACGCUGAGGCUCGAAAGUAUGGGUAGCAAACAGGAUUAGAUACCCUGGUAGUCCAUACCGUAAACGAUGAAUGCUAAGUGUUGGAGGGUUUCCGCCCUUCAGUGCUGCAGCUAACGCAUUAAGCAUUCCGCCUGGGGAGUACGGCCGCAAGGCUGAAACUCAAAGGAAUUGACGGGGGCCCGCACAAGCGGUGGAGCAUGUGGUUUAAUUCGAAGCUACGCGAAGAACCUUACCAGGUCUGGACAUACUAUGCAAAUCUAAGAGAUUAGACGUUCCCUUCGGGGACAUGGAUACAGGUGGUGCAUGGUUGUCGUCAGCUCGUGUCGU
RNAcentral lists this ribosomal RNA (706 nucleotides) under Lactiplantibacillus plantarum. RNAcentral's name for it is "bacterial SSU rRNA". It matches the Rfam family "Bacterial small subunit ribosomal RNA", at positions 371 to 1068 of the family's 1533-position model. Lineage: Bacteria; Bacillati; Bacillota; Bacilli; Lactobacillales; Lactobacillaceae. The record is from RNAcentral.